UACAGGGGGGGCAAGCGUUGCUCGGAAUUACUGGGCGUAAAGGGUCUGUAGGUGGCCAACUAAGUCAGACGUGAAAUCCCUCAGCUUAACUGGGGAACUGCGUCUGAUACUGGAUGGCUUGAGUGUGGGAGAGGAAUGCGGAAUUCCAGGUGUAGCGGUGAAAUGCGUAGAUAUCUGGAGGAAUACCGGUGGCGAAGGCGGCAUCCUGGACCGACAUUGACGCUGAGGAGCGAAAGCCAGGGGAGCAAACGGG
Molecule: ribosomal RNA, 253 nt
Filed under: uncultured bacterium
Lineage: Bacteria
Description: partial 16S ribosomal RNA
Rfam family: Bacterial small subunit ribosomal RNA
Source: RNAcentral